CCCUCCUGUGUGUGCUCCGAGCUACCGAGACGCCCUCCGUCCGAGACCAGGAACAAAGGAAAUCGACACAAAAUGCGCCACCGUAAGAAAAAAAGCUGCAAAAUGAUUUCCAGAUGAAAAUCCGACUUGAAACUCACCAGACAUGAUGACAAAGAUGAAGAGAGGAUCUCUGGAGAAGACCUGAGGGACUCCACAACGUCCUUUUCUGCCUCAGCAAAAUGGCCAAGAACGAAAUUUGUGCAAAAGUCUAAAAAAAUCUCAACACAAAAGUCUUACAGCAGGUUACAGCAGCAGCAGAGUUACUGUCCACGCUCCAUAGAGAAGACGUGACAUGAUCAGCAGCAGCUGCAGCCUCCUCCUCCUGCUGCAGCAGCGGUGCAGUGGCUCCACCUAGUGGUCAAACACCAGAACGUCCUCUCCCUCCGCCUCAAGUUUAACUGCUCUAUAGUAAAGCCUUCCUCCAUGUCUACAACUUUUAUUGCUGCAACAAACAUAAAAUCCCUUUUGUAUUAAAUUCUAUAUAUAUAUACACACUCACACACACACACAGUGUAAAGAUGGUUGAAUCAGUAUUUGGCUGUACUUUGACUGCAGCUGAUUUCAAGCUAAAAAGAAAAUAGAAAACAUGGCGCUCGCUGACAAUUACAAUUGUACAAAUGUUGAACAUGAUGAAAGUGUUUUAAAUAAUAAAGUUGAACAGAUCUGAUCCAUGUUUUUGUCAGUUGUUUGUUUGAUAAAGUUUGAUGAAUAAGAAGGAAUUUAUCUUAAAGUAUUUUGGGUUUACACUUUAACCCCCAUUUUUUUCCAUCUAUAUUAAUACACUGUUAGACACU
Molecule: long non-coding RNA, 833 nt
Organism: Seriola dumerili (greater amberjack)
Lineage: Eukaryota; Metazoa; Chordata; Actinopteri; Carangiformes; Carangidae
Exons: 4
Source: RefSeq, a predicted model, not a curated record